RNAcentral lists this ribosomal RNA (308 nucleotides) under Aphyocharax sp. RNAcentral's name for it is "partial small subunit ribosomal RNA". It matches the Rfam family "Bacterial small subunit ribosomal RNA", at positions 868 to 1344 of the family's 1533-position model. Lineage: Eukaryota; Metazoa; Chordata; Actinopteri; Characiformes; Characidae. The record is from RNAcentral.
UCCGCCAGGGUACUACAAGCGCAAGCUUAAAACCCAAAGGACUUGACGGUGUCUCACCCACCUAGAGGAGCCUGUUCUAUAACCGAUAAUCCCCGUUAAACCUCACCACCCCUUGUAUACCCAGCCUAUAUAUCGCCGUCGUAAGCUUACCCUGUGAAGGCCUAAAAGUAAGCAAAAUGAGCACACCCCAGAACGUCAGGUCGAGGUGUAGCCAAUGGAGUGGGAAGAAAUGGGCUACAUUUUCUAAUUUAGAAAAUACGGACAGUGCCAUGAAAUCUGGCGCUUGAAGGUGGAUUUAGUAGUAAAAA